AGUCUAAUGAUGAUCUUUCACUGAUUAAUAGUCAGUUUCCAAAACACACAGUGCUAGGUGGAGUUAGGAAGGAUUCCAGGAGUAGAUUUAGCUAGUGGUGAAAGGCUGGGAGUAUGGAGUGAUUUCUGUACUUGGUUAUGCAGCAUUCCCUGCAGUGUUUGUUUUUUGCAUGACUCCAAAUACAUGAAGUGUAUUAAAUGCAGAUUUUUGGUAGAUCUGAGGUUUUGCCUUGGUAGCUGACAGGAGUCUCUCUACUUCAAUCUGCAUUUGCAACCUCUAUAAAAUUAGUAAAUUAAUAGACUCAUGUCAGAGAGGGCCUGUGCCCCUGUGAAUGUGUGCACAAUUGUCUAUUUGUAAGGUAGAUGACACUUUGCUCUAAGUAGACCUGCAGGCAAAGACAGAAUGGGGUCUUUCCUGAUUCUUUAGUUUGGAGAUGCAGAGAACCCCACGUUUCUCUAAGUGAAAUGGCAAAAAGUUACUUGUUAGAAUAUGGAACUUGUAACAAAUUGAUGUUUGCACCUUAAAUUUGCUUUCACAGACCUCCUGGCUGUAUUGGACAGGAAUAAAGAAAGUUGGAGACUACAAUUGCCUUGUCCAUUCCCUUGGUCAAAAAAGUAUCAGUUAAGCUCAUGAGGUUUUUUGUGUAUUAUCUCUCAAGUGUUGAGACGUUUGUGUAAUGUAAGUACCACACUCACGGAUGAGGAAGCAGGCACAGAUGAAGAAACUUGUUGAAGGUUAUGUGUACAUCUCAUGAGCAGCAGAGUCAGGAUUCAGACCCUCAACUAGAAAAAAGUCAUCUCUGACAGACAUUCAGGAUAAAAUACCAUCUGUCCAUGUAGCCAAUUACUAGCCAUUUUCAUUAUUGCUGAAGUCAUUCUAGGUUGUAGAUGGGUAAUUUUCUUUCUAAAAGUGGUGUCCUCUUCCAUAGGAAACAGAGAUGUCUUAGAGUGGUCAGGGGUAGUAGGCUGCUAUUUGAGCAGAGGUUGCAGAAUUUGAGAAAGCUAUAGCUGGGGUUCUUUGUCGGUGGCAAGUCUGCUGAGCCCUGAGCUAUGCUAGCAUCUCUGCCUCAUGCGCUUUAAUCUUUGAGUCAGUCCUGUGAGAUACAGGUGUAGCCCCAUUUUGUAGUUGAGAGUGAGGCUCAGAUGUGAAGCAACUGGCUGAGGUUAAACUUGAUAGUCUGUUUUUACUUAUUUUCUGGCCCUCUUCUUGUUGCCAAAUAAUUACGAUGAGUAGGGUGAGCUUGAACUUUUUGGAGGUUUUUUUUUUCCCUUCCUGGAAAAUACUGAUUUGACUGGCUCUGGACCAUGAAAGUAGCUGGGUCUAAAACCAAACCAGACAUCAAAACGUGGUAAGGACCAUUCACUAAGACAGCCAUAGUAGCAUGCUCAGUGCCAGCACUGUCUCCAGGCCCAUUCUUACGAUCUCAGGAAAAGUCACCAGAUGCUUGGGCUCUAAGUAAAAAAAAAAAAAAAA
This 1473-nucleotide long non-coding RNA is filed under the name Macaca fascicularis (crab-eating macaque). RNAcentral's name for it is "lncRNA (ENSMFAG00000060543.1)". Lineage: Eukaryota; Metazoa; Chordata; Mammalia; Primates; Cercopithecidae. The record is from RNAcentral.